RNAcentral lists this ribosomal RNA (254 nucleotides) under uncultured bacterium. RNAcentral describes it as "partial 16S ribosomal RNA". It matches the Rfam family "Bacterial small subunit ribosomal RNA", at positions 524 to 776 of the family's 1533-position model. The record is from RNAcentral.
UACGGGGGGGGCAAGCGUUGUUCGGAAUUACUGGGCGUAAAGGGCUCGUAGGCGGCCAACUAAGUCAGGCGUGAAAUCCCUCGGCUUAACCGGGGAACUGCGUCUGAUACUGGAUGGCUUGAGUUUGGGAGAGGGAUGCGGAAUUCCAGGUGUAGCGGUGAAAUGCGUAGAUAUCUGGAGGAACACCGGUGGCGAAGGCGGCAUCCUGGACCAACACUGACGCUGAGUGAGCGAAAGCCAGGGGAGCAAACGGG